Bacillus sp. TS-2 is the source of this 109-nucleotide non-coding RNA. The record is from Rfam. NCBI's taxonomy places the organism in Bacteria, Bacillati, Bacillota, Bacilli, Caryophanales, Bacillaceae.
CGGAGAUGUCUCCUUUCCAAUAUCGAUGGAGAUACUCGGUCAUACUGUGGGUUAAGUACCUUAGACGUAUAUCGUCGAAAGUGUGAUGUGAGGGAGGGUUAGAUGCCCA